UCCCUCGUGGUCCAAUGGUUAGGACUCAGCACUUUCAUUGCUGCAGCCCAGGUUCAAUCCCUGUUUGGGGAA
Molecule: transfer RNA, 72 nt
Filed under: Ovis aries (sheep)
Lineage: Eukaryota; Metazoa; Chordata; Mammalia; Artiodactyla; Bovidae
Rfam family: tRNA
About the family: Transfer RNA (tRNA) molecules are approximately 80 nucleotides in length. Their secondary structure includes four short double-helical elements and three loops (D, anti-codon, and T loops). Further hydrogen bonds mediate the characteristic L-shaped molecular structure. tRNAs have two regions of fundamental functional importance: the anti-codon, which is responsible for specific mRNA codon recognition, and the 3' end, to which the tRNAs corresponding amino acid is attached (by aminoacyl-tRNA synthetases). tRNAs cope with the degeneracy of the genetic code in two manners: having more than one tRNA (with a specific anti-codon) for a particular amino acid; and 'wobble' base-pairing, i.e. permitting non-standard base-pairing at the 3rd anti-codon position.
Source: Rfam by way of RNAcentral